AACAUCGCCUCCCGCAAAACCGCAAUGUAUAGGAGGUCUUGCCUGCCCAGUGACUACAAGUUAAACGGCCGCGGUAUUUUGACCGUGCAAAGGUAGCGCAAUCACUUGUCUUUUAAAUGGAGACCUGUAUGAAUGGUAGAACGAGGGCUUAACUGUCUCCCCCUUCAAGUCAAUGAAAUUGAUCUCCCCGUGCAGAAGCGGGCAUAAUAAUACAAGACGAGAAGACCCUUUGGAGCUUGAGAUGCAAGACCAACUAUGUCAAAAAACCUUAAAAGAAUUAAACUAAAUAAUAACUGGUCCUCAUCUUCGGUUGGGGCGACCACGGGAGACAACAAAGCUCCCACGCGGACUGGGAAAAUACCCAAAACUAAGAGAGACAUCUCUAAGUCGCAGAAUAUCUGACCAAAAAGAUCCGGCUUCUUGCCGAUCAACGGACCAAGUUACCCUAGGGAUAACAGCGCAAUCCCCUUCCAGAGUCCAUAUCGACAAGGGGGUUUACGACCUCGAUGUUGGAUCAGGACAUCCUAAUGGUGCAGCCGCUAUUAAGGGUUCGUUUGUUCAACGAUUAAAGUCCUACGUGAU
This 582-nucleotide ribosomal RNA is filed under the name Trichomycterus conradi. Its description in RNAcentral is "partial large subunit ribosomal RNA". It matches the Rfam family "Bacterial large subunit ribosomal RNA", at positions 1812 to 2604 of the family's 2925-position model. Lineage: Eukaryota; Metazoa; Chordata; Actinopteri; Siluriformes; Trichomycteridae. The record is from RNAcentral.